RNAcentral lists this long non-coding RNA (6536 nucleotides) under Sus scrofa (pig). RNAcentral's name for it is "lncRNA (ENSSSCG00015039299.1)". The record is from RNAcentral. Lineage: Eukaryota; Metazoa; Chordata; Mammalia; Artiodactyla; Suidae.
GGGCAAUGAACUUUAAGGGCUAUGGGUGACUUUUCAGGGGAGUCCCUGUAGAGUGAUCAAUUAUGUCUGAAGGUGUAAGUCAGGUUGUGUAGGUUCUCAUCCUGUUCUCCCUCUACUGGGAGAGGGUUAGGGUUAGGGAGGAACUGCCAUUUCGUUUCUCAGCAGGGAUUCAGGUGUUGUCUGUGCAUUGCCAAACUACUAAAAAUUUCAGACUAGGUAGAAAACACUGAUUUAGGUGUUUGGUAGCAUGAAGUUGUAUAGAGCAAAAAAUUCUCGGGUCUAGUUUGAAAUCAGUGUGGAACAUUAUAAGGGAGCUGCAUGUGGGUCAAAUUUGCAUUAAAGUUUUGACCACAAGAAAUGUAGUCUUAAGCCGCUUAGUCCUCUGUGGGCUGCAGCUGCAUCCGUCUUUCUCUCGAAUGGGUGGAAAGCCACACGUGAUAAAGUGUGGGGUCUCCACAGGGAUCUCAGUCCAGAUUCUUCUGCCUUAAGCUAAGUAACAUGGGUAAGGCUGGGUUAUUCCUGACUUAAUGUUUCCCCCCUUCUCAACUUUUACAUAUUGUAUUCAUAAGACCAUAAGAAUUUUAAAGAAUAAUUUUUAGGAGUUCUCUUUUGGCACAGAGCAGUAAGGACCUGGCAUUGUCACUGCAGUGGCUCAGGUUGCUACUGUGGUACAGGGUCAAUCCCUGACCCAGUUACUUCCACAUGCCACAGGCACAGCCAAAAGUAAUAAUAAUUUUUUUUUUUUUUUGGUCUUUUUAGGGCUGCACCCAUGGAGGUUCCCAGGCUAGGGCUCGAAUUGGAACUACAGCUGCUGGCCUGCACGACAGACACAGCAAUGAGGGAUCCAAGCCACAUCUGCAACCUACAUCACAGCUCACAGCAACGCUGGAUCCUUAACCACUGAGUAAGGCCAGGGAUAGAACCUGUGUCCUCAUGGAUACUAGUCAGAUUCAUUUCUGCUGAGCCAUGCUGGGAACUCCAAUAAUAAUAAUAAUUGUUUAAAAAGAAAUUUUUCCUUAAUUUUACCACCCAGUAUACAUCAAUUAUUUGGCUUUUCCAAGCUUUUCCAGACCCCUGUCUUCGGGCAUCCUUGUAAUAGCAUAGUUGUAAGUGUAGUGUAUCCUGAUGUCAUUUUAUUCUGGUUUUUACAAUAGCAUGAAAUUAAGUUUGGGGUGAGCUGGUGUGACAUGAAGGGUUGAAAGACAGUGUCUGUGUAUGGCUCUAUCCUCAGUCGAAUGAAUCCUUGUUGACAGAGGAGGGCAAUGGUCCAGAGGCAAACCUAAGAGUAACUUACAUGCUGGAGAGGCUUUUAGGAGCUUAUUACCUCAUCGUCCUGUCCCUGGUGCACUUCACUGGUAGCACAGAUGCUCUGUACUGGCUUUCCCCUCUUUUCUCCUGCCAAGUCCCUUUUGGCUCACCAGCAUGUCUUCUGCUGGGAUGUUGGGACAUGUUGGAAAGAGGAUCUUUUCAAUUUGAGCCAAUGGAAUGACUUUAAAUUCUGCCUGGAAACUUACAAGAACAUGUGAUAAAUCCCCUUCCUCUUUUUUUCAAUCAGCCACACAGCAAACGUACCUCCCUGGGGAAAGCAGCUGGACCUUCUCCUCGCCUCACUUCUGCUCUACCCCCAGCCCGGUCCAAAACACUAGCCUGUCUGCCUGAGCAGCAGGGAAUGGCCUUAGGCCUCUUUCCCAACCCGAGCUUUUCCUUUCUUCAUUACCAUGGAUAAGAGGCUCUGUCCUCCUGCCUGUUAGGCAACUCAUUUAUUUAUUGUCUUUUUAGGGCCGCACCAGCACCACAUGGAGGUUCCCAGGCUAGGGGUCAGAUCGGAACUACAGCUGCAAGCCUACGCCAGAGCCACAGCAAUGCAGGAUCCAAGCCGAGUCUGUGACCUACACCACAGCUCACGGCAACGUCAGAUCCUUAACCCACUGAGCGAGGCCGGGAAUUGAACCUUCGUCCUCAUAGAUACUAGUUAGGUUCAUUAACCAUUGAGCAACUCACGUCAUUACCAUCAGCCAUGUGCCGGGGCCUUUGAUAGACAUUCUCAUGUGUAAUCCAACAACAGGGGGACAUAGCUAUUUGCUCUGUUUUACUAAUGAGGAGACUGGAAGUUGGAAUUUAAGAACUGCGCCCAAGGACACAGACCCAGUGAGUGGCAGGGUCCAGAGCGGGCACACCUUACAUCCUGCCAUGUUUUCCAUGGGACCAGGCUUGCCUCUGGCCCUCUCUUUGACACCUCCCAGGUACUGUGACUAGAAGGAAAAUACUACCCAGGGUAUUUGUGUGCACACAGUGGCAUCCAUGGGCCAAGAAAGAGGUUUGUUGUCCUCAGCAGCUAGUUUUCUGGUGGUAACCACGGGCACUUAGCCCAUCCUAGGUGACUUAAUUGCUUCAUCAAAUUCCUGUUUGAUACUCUCUUGUGGUUCUUUCCUAAACCCAGCUGCCCAGGGUCACAACUUGGUGCCUGCCCUGGUGGCCGACUUUGCCCAGCUCCUGUCUCCACUCAUAACAAAUUCAUCCACUUCGAAAAAGUUUAUUGAACACUCACUACUUGCCAAGUCCUUUGCGAAGGGCUGUAUAUUCAUUCAAUGGAGACUGUUAAAUAAAUUAAAGCCAUGAUUCUCAACUAAGGGUUUCUGAAUCUUUAGAGAUGCCUGAUAAUUUUUUUGAAGCAUUCACUACAAUCUUUUUAAAAGUAUUUUGCCAGUUACUAAGAAAAUACUCUUCUUUCGCAACAGUAUUUACAACAGAAAGAUUUUGCAAUUAAUAUUUUCUUGAAUCAGUAAUACUCAAGACAUUCUUAAUGGAUGUACAGGGGAGUCAGAUAAGUUUUUUUCCUUUAAAAUGGUCCUAUAAAUGGGGUUCCCGUCGUGGCUCAGUGGUUAAUGAAUCCGACUAGAUACCUUGAGGUUGUGAGUUCGAUCCCUGCCCUUGCUCAGUGGGUUAAGGAUCCCACAUUGCCGUGAGCUGUGCUGUAGGUCAUAGACAAGGCCCAGAUACCUAGUUGCUGUGGUUGUCGUGUAGGUUGGCAGCUACAGCUCCAAUUUGAUCCCUAGCCUGAGAACCUCCAUAUGCUGUGGGUACGUCCCUAAAAAGACAAAAAAAAACCUACAUAAAUAAAUAAAAUGGCCCUAUACAUUUCUCAGGUGAAAAGGGCAGGGUUAAUUAUUUUCCCUUCUGCAGAAAUAUAUUUUAAAAUACUUUCUGAAGUAAAACCUAAACCAAUGGAAUAGCUCCCACCUGAAAUUUAGGGCCCCAGGACUGUGUCAGGGAAAGUGAGCCUCAGGGUCCCUUAUCACAACUUGAAAACCAGGUUCCUGCCUUUGGAGAAUCGGUGGGCAGCCUGGGCUGCUCUUGGAUCUUUCCCCAGCCAGUCAGGAUGGUCACUUUUACCUCUCAGCUCUGGGAGUGCGGUGCUCACCUCUGAUAGCUCCUCUGCUUCAUCUGAUGUUCGGAUGUCAGCAGGAGUGAAGUGUAUUCAGGAGAAACAUGGGCUGCAGUAGCACUGGAUCCAAUUACAUUAUCCAGCACCUUCUAUUGGUAUUAAAAUGUUUUCUUUUUCUGGGAUGGGGGCAGGUAAGGAAGUAGUGUGCAGACAACCUUCAACUACUGACAAAUGACAGUUAAGUAGGAAAAGAUGCGUAUAAAACAUUCAGGUAUAUAAUCUCUUAUCUGGGCAUGACCAUUGGUGUGUGUGUGUGUGUGUACCUUUUGCAUUUACCCUUAGAGGGCGGAGACCCUUGGUCGUUUGUUUCCUCCCUGCAGUUGGCUUUAUUAUUAUAGGCAUUUUAUUUAGUGAAGAACUGAAAUAAAUCAUACCCCCAAAGUGUAGAGUCUGAUAGGACCCAGAAUCAGCUAACUUAAGAUCCUAUUGUUUUUCCAUUGGACCAUGGCUGACUCCAUAGAUUUAUCCAUUUCUAUCAGUUCAGCAGGUAAUUGCAUGUACUAUUUGGCUGACGAUAAAAGUGUGGAGGUAGAGGUGUAAAGCAAGGCUUUAGGACCGUAAGUCCUUGGCAGUGAAGCCCUAGGAAAAAGAGGAGCAGAAAAGGCUCCUCCAGCCAGUUGCCAGGGACAAAGGGUAACUGAUGGGGUAAAUAAAACACGGACGCCACCAGGGUGCUCCUGUCAAAAAGAUGUUUAGUGAAGGUGGGAGCUUCAUUGCUUUGAUACAGAAAGCCUUUCAAAGGGCUGCUCAGGUUCCUUCAAGCUGAGCACCCACCAUCCACUCCAGGCUUCUCUAAGUUCUGGGCUUGGCAGUCCCCGGAGACUGGGUUCUGCUGGUGUGUGUUGUUUGGAAGUUUCCUUCCAAUGCAUGAGAACUCACUAACCAGCUCACCUGGGCUGGCUCUUGGGGUCGGUCCUCAGGACAGAUGGAGAUGACCAUUGUCCUUCUUUCCUUCCUUCCUUCCUUUUUUCCUUCCUUCCUUCCUUCCUUCCUUCCUAUGGCCAUGCCUGUGGCAUAUGGAAGUUCCCAGGCUGGGGGUCAAAUUGGAGCUGCACCUGCCAGGCACAGCCACAGGAACACCAGAUCUGAGCCACAUCUGCGACCUACACUGUAGCUUGUGGCAAUGCCAGAUCCUUAACCCACUGAGUGGGGCCAGGGAUGAAACAGUCACUAUGUUGAGUUCUUAACCCAUGGAGCCACAACGGGAAUUCCUGGAGCCUCUUUUCUAACAGAUUUCUAGCAUCAUCCAGGCUGAUUGGCUCUUACUGACCCUCCAGUGUCAGCAUCAGCAACCCUUGUCUUCUCUGAUUAACAGUGUUGGCUCCAAAGUCCUGAAUCUUAUCACAUUCUACCACGUACAGACUGGGUAGCCUUGGGUGAGUUAUUCAGCUCUGCCAAGCGGGUUUAUAUAUAAACUGAGAAUAAUAACUGUACCUCCUGCUCAGAUUUGUUGCCAGGCUUAAGUGAAAGAAUGCACGUAAAGCCGCUGACCCGCUGCCUGGCACGUAGCACACAGUAAGUGAUGUAAUAAACCAUCAUUGCCUGAAGUUCUGGAAUGGCAGAGGGUGAGUGACUGGGAGGGAUGAUUGUGUCCUCCCAUUUGCCCCCUUGGUGGCUCCUCUUGGUUAAGAUUCCAGGGAGGGGUGGACAGCACUGGUGGACCACACUUCCGAGGUCCUGGAUGACCCUGGGCAGGCAGGAAGUACUCAUGAUUACGGGGGAUGUUGGCUGAUUCAUGGAUUAGGUGACUCAGCCUUCAUUGAUAGAAAGCCAUCUGUGUGCAGACAACAUUGCAAAAAGCUCCCUGGUUAUUGCUGAUGGAUGAAGGAUUUCCUUCUUUACCUGAAGGUGACAGGCAAACGGCUUGGGGACUGGAAGGAAGGUCAGCUCUGGACUCGCCAAGCUGGAGAGGGUUGGGGAGGGUAUCCUGUAGUCUUGAGGAAGGUGAGGUGAGGCAGCGGGUGGGGAUGGACAAGAGGCUGCCGCCACAAGUCCAGCCAGCCUGUAAUGCUCUCCACUUUGUUCCUGUCGGUGGGCGUCUGUCUUGCCUUGGCCUGAGGAAGCAAGGCCCUGCCAAAAGCACACGGGAGACCACAGUUAGGCGAUUUCACAUGUAAAGUGCCAUUCAGUUAUUUCUUAAAUAGGAGAGCAUGUGAGCCUCCAGGAGCACUAAAAACACCUCUCUUAAUCAUAACCUCGAGGAACAGCUAGUUUUAUGGCCCUGAACUUUCGUUUAUUUUUAUUUUUUUGCUUUUUAGGACCACACCUGUGACAUAGGGAAGUUCCCAGGCUAGGGGCUGAAUUGGAGCUACAGCCUAUUUCACAGCCUCAACAAUUCCAGGGCCGAGCUGAGUCUUUGACCUACACUGCAGCUCAUGGUGUCGCCAGAUCCUUAACCCACUGAGUGAGGUCAGGGGUCGAACUGGAAUCCUUAUGGAUACAGUUAGGUUCAUUACCACUGAGCCACAGUGGGAACUCCCAAAUAGAUGAGUUUUGGGGGUUUUUUUUGUUGUUGCCUAGAGGGAUAUGGAGCUUCUGGGACAAGGAUCAGAUCCGAGCUGUUAGUUUCUUUAUAUAAUGGGCAUACUUAUACAGACCCCCUACUCCUUGGAAUAAAGGAACUAAAUGUUCUUGUUUUUGCUUGGCCCCAAGGUUUGUGUGGGCAUGGGGGAUUGAGGAAAAGGAAAAACCCAGCAAGAAUGCUUAGGGGGAUUACUAAUUAAUUUUCUACUAAAAUAUGUCUUCAUAAAUCUUCCUAGACAAACAUUAUCAUUUUUAAAAGUAACUUGAUAAUUUUCUCUCUCUUUUUUUUUUUUUUUUGCCCAAGCAUGAGCUAGUUUAGAAAGGCGUUGAGUUGGAAUUCCUGUUGUGGCUAAGCAGUAAAGAACCUAACUAGUAUCGGUGAAGAUGUGGGUUCAAACCGUGGUCUUGCUCAGUGGGUUAGGGAUCCAGUGUUGCCGUGAGCUGUGGUGUAGGUCAUGGGUGUGGCUCAGAUCCGUCUUUGCUGUGGCUGUGGUGUAGGCCAGCAGGUGCAGCUCCAAUUUGAUCCCUAGCCUGGGAACCUCCAUAUGCCACGGGUGUGGCGCUAGAA